RNAcentral lists this ribosomal RNA (459 nucleotides) under uncultured bacterium. Its description in RNAcentral is "partial 16S ribosomal RNA". It matches the Rfam family "Bacterial small subunit ribosomal RNA", at positions 338 to 795 of the family's 1533-position model. The record is from RNAcentral.
CCUACGGGAGGCAGCAGUGAGGAAUAUUGGUCAAUGGGCUCGAGCCUGAACCAGCCAAGUCGCGUGAGGGAAGACGGUCCUAUGGGUUGUAAACCUCUUUUGUCGGGGAGCAAAAGGCGCCACGCGUGGCGUUCCGAAAGUACCCGAAGAAAAAGCAUCGGCUAACUCCGUGCCCGCAGCCGCGGUAAUACGGGGGAUGCGAGCGUUAUCCGGAUUUAUUGGGUUUAAAGGGUGCGCAGGCGGAAGAGCAAGUCAGCGGUAAAAUUGAGAGGCUCAACCUCUUCGAGCCGUUGAAACUGGUUUUCUUGAGUGGGCGAGAAGUAUGCGGAAUGCGGGGUGUAGCGGUGAAAUGCAUAGAUAUCACGCAGAACUCCGAUUGCGAAGGCAGCAUACCGGCGCUCAACUGACGCUCAGGCACGAAAGUGUGGGUAUCGAACAGGAUUAGAUACCCUUGUAGUC